UAAGGAAUAUUGGUCAAUGGAGGCAACUCUGAACCAGCCAUGCCGCGUGCAGGAAGACGGCCCUCUGGGUUGUAAACUGCUUUUAUUCGGGAAUAAACCUACUUACGUGUAAGUAGCUGAAUGUACCGAAGGAAUAAGGAUCGGCUAACUCCGUGCCAGCAGCCGCGGUAAUACGGAGGAUCCAAGCGUUAUCCGGAUUUAUUGGGUUUAAAGGGUGCGUAGGCGGCCUAUUAAGUCAGGGGUGAAAGACGGUAGCUCAACUAUCGCAGUGCCCUUGAUACUGAUGGGCUUGAAUGAACUAGAGGUAGGCGGAAUGUGACAAGUAGCGGUGAAAUGCAUAGAUAUGUCACAGAACACCGAUUGCGAAGGCAGCUCUCUAAGCUACAUCUGACGCUGAGGCACGAAAGCGUGGGGAUCAAACA
RNAcentral lists this ribosomal RNA (422 nucleotides) under uncultured Pedobacter sp. RNAcentral describes it as "bacterial SSU rRNA". It matches the Rfam family "Bacterial small subunit ribosomal RNA", at positions 355 to 774 of the family's 1533-position model. The record is from RNAcentral. Lineage: Bacteria; Pseudomonadati; Bacteroidota; Sphingobacteriia; Sphingobacteriales; Sphingobacteriaceae.